This 226-nucleotide ribosomal RNA is filed under the name uncultured bacterium. RNAcentral's name for it is "partial 16S ribosomal RNA". It matches the Rfam family "Bacterial small subunit ribosomal RNA", at positions 538 to 763 of the family's 1533-position model. The record is from RNAcentral.
GCGUUGUCCGGAUUUAUUGGGCGUAAAGAGCUCGUAGGCGGUCUGUCGCGUCGGAAGUGAGAACCCGGAGCUCAACUCCGGGCCUGCUUUCGAUACGGGCAGACUUGAGUACUGCAGGGGAGACUGGAAUUCCUGGUGUAGCGGUGGAAUGCGCAGAUAUCAGGAGGAACACCGGUGGCGAAGGCGGGUCUCUGGGCAGAAACUGACGCUGAGGAGCGAAAGCGUG